CUGGCGGAGGUCGUGAAGCUCUUUGGCCCCCGGCUCGUGGACCUGCACAAGUACGUCCCCACCUGCAACACCGGCCAGAAGCGCAGCAACUGGAGCGUUCUCAACAAGCGGGGCUCCGAGCGGGGCUUUCCGCCCCGCCUUCCCUGCUGGGCCCGCUCCUCGCUCCCCAAGGCGGGCCUGCAUGGGCGGCCCCCACCCUGGGGACAGGUUCUCAGGCUGUGUCCCUGCCGUGGGCUUCCCUGAUACUCUGUCCAGUUCCACUUGAGGCUCCUGGGGGCUCCCCACCAAGAGGCCAGCAACAGUCACCGUGAGACACACUCUGCAGGGCAUUAUCCUGCUCACUCACCUCGCCUCUCAUGCACUCACCCGCCAAAAAUUCUGGGUGACAGGCUGCUCAGGCCCAGCGAGUCAGAGGGAAGACGGAUAAGUGAGGAGAUGGGGCCAGCGUCAGUUGUGACAAGUCACGUGAGGACACUGAGGCAGGAGCACAGGAAGUGACAGGGAGCAGCCUGAGGGCGGCCACCUGGGUCUUUGCGAGGCUGCAGUGGGGAGGGCAUGCGGAGCCACCAAGGGCCCUUGGAGGACACUGCCCGAGGGCACAGUGCCUUAGCCGGCUUGAGGCCUGGCAGGUUCUGGUGGGACUUACUCGGAGGGGAGAGAGACUGGGGGAGUUGGAGGUGGGGUGGGCGGCUGCCCCCACCCCCAAAGCCUGGAGAGGUGGCAGCUGCAGGCAGACCUGUGAGAAGUCAGGCUCUGAGCGCUUGGGAGGUGAGCCGAGGCGCCUCAGGAGGAUGAGCGCUGCCUAGGGAGGUGGCGGCGGGCCGGGGACUCAGCUGGCCUGAAGGCACAGCACUCUGUGCCCCGUGAGCCCCGGGUGGCGACCGGGAACGAGAUGGCCCCAGGCCCCUGUGGGUGCGGGGGCCGGAAGGCACCCCAGUCCAGCCGCUCCGCACGAGGUGGGCGUCCCCACCUGGCCUCUGGUCUCAGGGCUGCACCUGCUGCCUCUGCAGGAAAGUCUUCCACAAGUUGGGUCUCAGUGUCUCAGGAAGAGAUCCGAAAGGUGAUCGUCAACACCCCUGGGGCCAUCGAGCCCAUCCUGUGUGCAGUGAGGGACAAGGUGGAGGCCGCGAGGACCCGCCCGGCAUGGCUGGACACGUGGGUACCAUCACGUGGCCAUGGCCUCUGCUGUGUUGGGACACGGGCUCGUUGCCUGCCGAUGAGAGUAAAACCAGGAACCGGGGAGCCCUGGCAGCACCUGGACCCUGGGCUGCCGCAGCGGCUGCUGGAGGAGAAGGAGCGGGUGCUGGCAGUCCUGCGGGGGACCGUCAAGGUUCUGCAGAUGAAGGUGGCCAGGCUGGAGCACCCGGUGAAACUAAAGGACCAGCGGGUCAGAGCGCUCACGCGACGGGGGGACCAGCCCCAGGGAGGGGGCACCCGGGGCCAGAAGGGCCCCCUCCCCUGUCCACCAGACUCCGACCUCGAGCCCACUUGGAAAUCCCCUAGACUGGGUGUUUCUGGGUGUGGCAACGCACUGUCCAUCAGACGUGGAGCAACCGAGGAGGACCCGAGCCAGCGUGUCCACAAGCAGAGGCCUGGCCCCUCCUGACUGCACAUCCCGGGUGCCCAGCCGAUGUGGCCUGAGGUUCCCCUGCUGCCCCCCACCCCCCCGCCUCCUCCCCAC
Long non-coding RNA from Bos mutus (wild yak), 1681 nucleotides. NCBI's taxonomy places the organism in Eukaryota, Metazoa, Chordata, Mammalia, Artiodactyla, Bovidae. The record is from Ensembl.